UAGCCCAUGGUGUAAUUGGCAACACAGAUGGUUUUGGUCCAUCCGUUCCUGGUUCGAGUCCAGGUGGGCUAG
This 72-nucleotide transfer RNA is filed under the name Planctomycetota bacterium. RNAcentral describes it as "Planctomycetes bacterium tRNA-Gln". It matches the Rfam family "tRNA". Rfam says of the family: Transfer RNA (tRNA) molecules are approximately 80 nucleotides in length. Their secondary structure includes four short double-helical elements and three loops (D, anti-codon, and T loops). The record is from RNAcentral. Lineage: Bacteria; Pseudomonadati; Planctomycetota.